Molecule: non-coding RNA, 64 nt
Organism: Myotis davidii
Lineage: Eukaryota; Metazoa; Chordata; Mammalia; Chiroptera; Vespertilionidae
Source: Rfam
GGCCUCCCUUUGCUGGGCAAUUGAUUGUGGAGCCCCGUGAUCAAUUGCCCCACAGAGGGAGGCC